AAAGGGUGCAUUCAAGAAAAUGUAAAUUUUUCAAUAAAUGGCGGUAGAGGAGAAACUUUUUCCUGGCAUUUAAUUAUCUUUUUCAUCUCAAAAUGAAAUCAAGAGCUCAUUUACAUCUGGUUGUCUUGUUACUGUAGAGCUCUCAUCAAAAAUUUGAGAAGGAGCCCAACUUGAAAAAACCCUACAAUACCCAGAUUCUGAAAAAAUCUACGUGCAUGUCAUGACCUGCUCUUUAUUAUACUUGUGCUUCCUCUUGACUUGCUCCAGAGCAGCAUUUAGCAAAGCUAAAGUGAUCCCAUCAUUACCACAGAGCAGACAACAAAUCCCCUGGGUUUUCAUCUGUUAAGUAUAUCCAUGGCAUGAUGAGGAGACUGUCUGGAAAGGACAGAGAACUUAGAGAAACAGUGAGAAUAUUUGCAAAAGUACAAGAAAAAUAAUGUUGUUUCAGAGAUGGAAAGACAAUAAAAAACUGUAGGUGUUCUGAAAAAGAGGAGAGUUACUGAUAUGUAAUUAAUAUCUGACUUGGGGCUUUGUUUAACCCCUUCUUGAUCCAGCAAAAAUGUUCUCCUCUCUCCCAGAGUGCAGCCCCAUCAGUCAGACCAUGUGAGCACUGCAGGCCAGGGCUCUGCACUCAGGAAGACAAGAGGGAAUGUAGGUGAGCUGUGCUGAGCCUCAGGUCAGUGCAAACCAGAGCAAAUCCCAUCGUUCAGACCAGUACCACAAACCACACUCUGUGCCCAUGGGGUGCAUGGGGUGCCUGGGAAUGGGAUGCAAGGGGAGCAUGGCAAGGCUUCCUGCAGAGAUGGAACACUCUUAGAAUCACAGAAUUGUUUAGCUUGGAAAGGCUGGCUAAUAUCAAAUCCAAUCAGUGACACAACACUGCCAAGCCCACCACUAAACCAUGUCCCAGGUGCCACAAUUACACCUUUUAUAAUCCCUCCACAGGUGGUGACUCCACACUGCCCUGGGUGGCCUCUGCCACGGCUUGGCCACCCUUUCAGUGAAUAAAUUUUCUUUGAUAUCCCAUCUAAACUUUCCCUUUGAUCAAUUUGAGGCCACUUCCUCCUGUCCUUUGCUUAUUGUUAGUGACUGACCCUGCCUGGCUCCAGCCUCCCAUCAGGUAGAGUGAGCAGAUUCCCCUUGGAGCCUCCCUGUUCUCCAGGCUGAGCUCCUCCAGCUCCAUCAUCAGGCUUGUGCUCCAGACCCUUCCCCAGCUCCACUGCCCUUCUCUGGACAUGCUCCAGCCCCUCAUUGUCGAAUUUGGUGAUCUUAAAUGUGAUCUUUCCAAUCUUAACAAUUCUUAUUCAUCAACAUCUUUCUUGUAGUGAGGGGCCCUACUGCCCAACAAAAAAAGCAUUUACAAAACCACAAUUCAAGAGCAUGUAGAUGGGAAAAGAUAUCUUCCCUGACUUGGCAAACAGCUGUCAAGUGCAUCUGCAGAGGAGUUUUAUCUUUUCUUCAUGAGUGAUGCUCAAGCACAUUAGUUAGUGUUUAGCCCCAAAUGUGUGUUUUGUCAAGCUGAGUUCUCACAUGGGAACACAGACACAAACCAAGAUAUUCCCACUGCAAAUCCCCUUCGCUUAAUGAGAGCACAAAUUUUAUUCAUUUCUAAACAGUCUUCUCUCUUUAUUCAAAAAUCACUCAUUUCUAAAUGGAAAAAAAAAAAAAAAAAAAAAAAAAGCCAGUGAAUUUUUUAACAAAAAGAAAAUCAGGUUUCAAUUUUACAGUGAGUGUGAAGUACCCAAUUUUCACUUUUAUUAAACACUGCAUUUACUUGCACAGCUCUUCUCUUAUCUGGGCUGGUGAGUGACUGGAAAAUCAAGGGUUUGCCUUUUCCAAGGCCAUAUAACCCCUGACAGCAGCUAUUGCCAAUGCCCCAGGUUAGCACUGGGCUCCCUCUCUGGAAUGAGGUGGGAUGCCCUGAACUCUCCCGAGGGACACCUGACAUGGGUGUGUCCUUGCACAGGGACGUAGGGAGUCCCCCAGGAUGGAGUGUCCUCAGCUGCCAACUCUUCCUCUGGUGGAACCACAGACUCGGCUGUGGAGAGUAUGGCUAUGAAAAACUACUCUGCUAGAAGGUGCAAAUAAAAAAUAUCUCCUCUCAAAGCCUUGCUCUGGUUUUUUUCUCACCUGUACAGGCAUUUUUGGGAAAACUGGAGACCAAAAGACCACUCAUGUAUGGAGCUAUCUGGAAACAAAGGCAACAAAGAGCUUGAGAUAGGAAAGGAAAUUGCUUUCCCUGUGUUCCAACCAGGGAACAUUGGCAGGGACAGCAGGGGGUUUCCUGUGUGAUAUACCUUUGUGUUCCCCACUUUGUGCCAGCUGUGCACUGUGGGCUGUGAGCUGAGAGCCAACUUGCAUCCCAGACCAUGGGGUUCUCUGAAUGCCCCUUUUUCUCACUGUGCUGCUGUGCACAGCAGGAAGAUGACCUUGACAAAUUUCCUGAUUGCUGGAGGUGAUGCCCAAGCUUGUCCACUGACACAGCAAACAUCAGGGUGGCUUUAAAACCUGGUGGGAAAAUAGCAUUAGUACUAAUUUACAAGUGGUUAGUUGGUGCUUGAGGUCAAGGUGCUUGAGGUCAAGCUGCUCCACUCUUCUUGGGGAAGCUGGGGUGGGAAAGAACUGGUUCCCCCCCUUUGGCAGCCAAGGCUGGGGCCAAACAAACACCUCAUGGAGGCAACAAGAGAUUUGGGGAAAAUGCCUUCAGUGUUGUGAGAUCAAAGGCAGGGUGUCAGCAAGAGCAAGCAGGUGCUGUCAGAUGUGCAGCCCUGUCCUGGUUUCCAGCACUGUGCUCUCAGCCCCAGGGCCCCAGGUGCCCCAGGUGUCAGGUGGGGACAGACACAGUCCCAGUGAGGGACACGCUGCCAUUCCUGCCACGGCCAGCAACGGAACUGCUUGAGAACAAACUGCCUGUGGUUAGGGCAAUGGAAAAUAUGCAAGAACCUUCUCUUCCCCAGUGCACACUCGCCCUGAGCCUGCUCCACAGCUGGUGCAGGGCUCCUCCUGUGCUUCACACCUUUGGGUCCCAGCACUCCCCAUCGUCCCUCUGUGUGCAGCUCCAUGGACAAGGAGAUUCCAUGGCUUUUAUUCCAACCAUUAAUCCACAUCACCUACAUCAGGGUACACUCCAGAACUCCCUUCAGGACCACCUUGAUGCUGAGCAGAUGCAGGAGAAGCCUCGUCCCCAUAUCAGUGAGGGCAAACAUCUCUAGUUUGGAGAACACUGCUUUCCAUCGUGGUCAAGAAGAAGUGAGGUUCAGUUUGUAACCAGUAUAACCAAGAUGACAAUUACUUUUCCAGACUUCUGAAAACAGAAAUAAUUUAAAUAUUGCAUCAUAUAAGCAACCUGCUUUUCGAGCAUAGGCCUUUCAUUCCUUCCCAAACCAGAUGUGCAGUGGAAGAUGACAGAGGAAAGAGACCACCAAACAAGUGUUUUCUACAGACACAAAGUUUAUCUAGCCUUCAUUGAAAUAAUCUGCUGUAUCCCAGUAGUGAAUGCUGCAAAUUGACAAUGAUUUCCAUGUUUCCCCGACUUUCUGGCAUGCAUAUGGAAGUGUGUUGCUAUAAAACAUAGGCAAGAAUUUCAGACUAAUUAAAGGGAUUUUAUCUGGUUAAAAUCAUAUCUUUCUUUUUUUUUUUUUUAACAGACAUCUCCUUGCCUGUGUGUUCUAAAUAACAUCUUAAUAUUAUUAGAGUUCUACAAAGCUAAUUUACAUCAUGCCGUUUAUUGUCUUCUGUUUAUUUUUGCAUGUCUCCCUGUACAGUCUAGUCAGCCCUACCUUUCUUCCCCAGAACUAGAAAGUGCAAAUCAAUGGCAUUUUCAGACUCUCUCGCCCCAAAGCAGGAGACAGGAUGGAUCAGUGGUUAGAGCACUAGACAGAAAUACAGCUCUGUGCUGCCAGCAUCCCGUGGGAUCCUGGAAAAGGUGCUCACCCGCUCUUUGUCUGUCUUCCCCAGCUGUAAAACACCAUUUUCCUACCUCACAGGGCUGUCCCAAAGCACACAGCAUUUCUUUUGAGUGAGGUAACGAAGUGCAGACAUAGCUCGUAGCCACCUCUGUGCCUACCACCACUGUUUAUCAAAAAAAAGCUACAAAAGGACUGAGGGGAGCUGCCUACUGUAAUUGUAGGCAGGAAUUAAGCUGUAGGUGAAACAUCUGACUUUGAAGAAAGGAGAUACAUGAAAGUGUGCUCGAGUCCCUGGGGUGGAAUGUAAGUACAGCUUUCCCAGCAAACACUCUGCUCCAAAACUGGAGUAACUUUAUUCAGGCAUAAAUACUGUGCUUUAAAUAGCACAGCAGUGCCUUAUCUGCUUAUCUCAGCUAUUAAGGAACCCUUUGUUUCCAGCAGAUUGCCACUGGCCUGAGUGAUGAGCUUGUGACUCCUGUGGUGGUGUUAACCAGAGCAGGAUUCUGCACAGCAGCCAGGGAUUCUUGUUUUUCCUGGUGAAAUCCUCACACGUUGCAGACAGCCUGGCCAGGUCUGCUUUACCUUUUAACCUGGUAUUCCUCAGGGCAGCUCAGGGGUACCCACAAUUGCAUCUGCCAUGGCUCACCACCAAGAAAUUCCAUGACACCUCUUUGACUCUUCCUUUGGGAGCCCAUAACCAUCAUUCCAGCAUGUGUCACUCACAGUGAGUAUUCCUGCUAAUCAUACUGUUAUCCAGCUAUUUGCUUUGAGAGUUUUAUAAAAGAAAAACAACAAAAAAAAGAGAGAACAAUUAUAUUUCACUUUAUGGACAUAUGGACACUUUUCUGUAACAAGACUUUUCCAGAUGUUCCACCCCUUGAAGAUGUAAGCCACAAAAGCACGUUUUAUCAUGACAUAAAUACAAAGCAAGAUGAAAGUCAUGGAACUGCCUGUGUGUUCUUUUCUUAACACAGCUGUAUUUGAGUUGGGUCUUUGCAACUGUCAAGCAUAAAUCAAAUGGGGGAAAACAAUUCUGAGAAGUCAUCCAUUCCUUGACAGAAUCAGUGUUUUCUGUCACAAGC
Long non-coding RNA from Oenanthe melanoleuca, 4990 nucleotides. RefSeq lists it as uncharacterized. The record is from RefSeq and is a predicted model, not a curated record. The transcript is spliced from 2 exons. Lineage: Eukaryota; Metazoa; Chordata; Aves; Passeriformes; Muscicapidae.